GGGGGCGACAUUGGCUUCGACGUGGAUUACAAAGCCUUUUGGUGCAUGUCGAGAAUGUAAGCUGCUCUCGUUAAAAACGUUUACAAAUGCUUAACCGCAAACGAUGCAGACGGUAACGUCGCUAUUGCUGCCUAAACAAUAAAGCAGCAACAGUUUAGUGAGUGUGCUUGUGCACUUGCCAAAACUGUUAUUUUCACAAGACCGCUUGUUGCAUUUGCCUAGUGUGCACAAGUUAAAUAAAUACUAAGUUAUAUUAUGCAUAAGCUUGCACGUUGGCUUAGCAUAACGAAAAUGAUAACGAUGCUAAACAUGUAGAGCCUUGGGUCGCGGAUUUACGGACGCGGGUUCAAUCCCCGCCGCCUCCACCA
This 368-nucleotide transfer-messenger RNA is filed under the name Gammaproteobacteria (g-proteobacteria). Its description in RNAcentral is "BQJM01 sp021604705 Standard tmRNA". It matches the Rfam family "transfer-messenger RNA". From Rfam's summary of the family: Bacterial tmRNA, also known as 10Sa RNA or SsrA, is named for its dual tRNA and mRNA-like properties. Its role is to liberate the mRNA from a stalled ribosome. The record is from RNAcentral. Lineage: Bacteria; Pseudomonadati; Pseudomonadota. RNAcentral also lists the same sequence under 1 other name.